GUCGCGAAUCUUCCACAAUGGGCGCAAGCCUGAUGGAGCCAUGCCGCGUGCAGGAGGACGGCCUUCGGGUUGUAAACUGCUGUCGAGGGAGGGGAAUGACUGCAUGUGAAUAGCGUGUAGUUUGACUGCUCCCUGGAGGAAGCACCAGCAAAACAUGUGCCAGCAGCUGCGGUAAUACAUGUGGUGCAAGCGUUGUUCGGAUUUACUGGGCUUAAAGGGUGCGUAGGCGGCUUUAUAAGUCAGGGGUGAAAGUCGAUGGCCCAACCAUCGAAGUGCCUUUGAUACUGUUGAGCUUGAGUGGGUGAGGGGCAGACGGAACGAGUGGUGUAGCGGUGAAAUGCGUAGAUAUCACUCGGAAGGCCGGAGGCGAAGGCGGUCUGCUGGUACCCAACUGACGCUGAGGCACGAAAGCGUGGGGAUCAAACAGGAUUAGAUACCCCAGUAGUCC
RNAcentral lists this ribosomal RNA (448 nucleotides) under uncultured bacterium. RNAcentral describes it as "bacterial SSU rRNA". It matches the Rfam family "Bacterial small subunit ribosomal RNA", at positions 354 to 796 of the family's 1533-position model. The record is from RNAcentral.